Portunus trituberculatus (swimming crab) is the source of this 720-nucleotide long non-coding RNA. RefSeq lists it as uncharacterized. The transcript is spliced from 3 exons. The record is from RefSeq and is a predicted model, not a curated record. Lineage: Eukaryota; Metazoa; Arthropoda; Malacostraca; Decapoda; Portunidae.
GGCAGGGAAGAGGGAAGGUGUGGCGCUCUUGUCUGUGUUUCCUGAGGCGGUGUUACCAGAUCAGUGCAAGUUCCCCCUGCUCCCUCCCAUCCCAGCCUCCCCCAGCCGCUCAUCCCCCGCCAGCCUCCCCUGCUUUCCCUCCCCUGUCAGCCCCUGCCAGUCUCUACCAGCCUUCUGACGCCAAGAUGAAGGUGGUGGUGGUGGUGGUGGUGGUGGUAGCAACAUUACAGGUUCAGGCGACACAGACGAAGAAAACAGCGAAGGACUCCAACCCUGAGGCACACCAGCUGAACUCCCGCCCUUCACUGCAGCCCGACCCUCUCCACCCUGCUGCUGAGGAGGACUUGACUGAAGGUUUUGGCAAUAGUAGCAGUAGUAGUAGUAGUAGUAGUAGUAAUGAAGAUGGUACUACUAACUUGAGCAACACUAGUAGCAAAAAGGAACUAAAAACUAAACCGACCACUUUUAAAACACGCCAAAAAACUCAGAUCCGCAAAAGACUCCGAACAGAACACAAUCGUUCGUUGAAGCAGUCCCGAAACAGACCAAGAACCGCUUUACGUAGACCUGGAUUGAGGAAGUUCAACAGAAGACCGUUUAGGAAUCGCGCGGGUAGUGGUAGUAGUAGUAGUAGUGAGGAGGAGGAGGAGGAAGAGAGACGAGAGGAUGAGGAAGAGAGGCUAAGGGAAAUGAGAGAGGAGGAGGAGGAGGCGAGGCAAG